This 1041-nucleotide long non-coding RNA is filed under the name Setaria viridis. RNAcentral describes it as "long non-coding RNA (SVIR_LNC008191)". Lineage: Eukaryota; Viridiplantae; Streptophyta; Magnoliopsida; Poales; Poaceae. The record is from RNAcentral.
GGAGGAGGAAAGUGAAUUUGGAAAUAAGAGGAGGGCGAUGGGAGGUUUGAAGCGGCAGAGGAGGUUGACGGGAGGAGGUUGAUGUUCUUUUUUCCCUUUUCUCUCUUUUUGUUUUCGUUCUUAGUUGUUUUCUUUGUUUUCCUUUUCUUGUCUCUUUGUUUUAUUUUUCUUUCUCUAUUAUUUUAUUUUUAUUUUUUCUUUCUUCUCAUUUAUUUAUUUAUUUAUUUUCAUCCCUUCUCCUUUUUCCUUAUUCUCUUUUCCUUUCUUUUUUCUUCUCUCUUCUUCUUUUAUUUUCUUUACCAUUUUCCGAUUACACACUUUUUUUCUAAUUUCUUUUUCUUUCUGUUUUCACUCUUUUGUUUUGUUUUCCUUUUUAUUAGUUUGAUUCCUAUUCUAUUUUUUCUAUUUUAAUUUAGAUUCUCUUCUACAUAUUCCUUCUUGGUACGUAAUUUCUUUCUUUUUUCCUCAUUAAUUUUACAUUCGUUUCUCCAUUCCUUUGUUUUUUUCUCAUUACUUUUUAUUUCUUUUCUGUCUCUUUUAUUUCAUUUUUAUUUUUUAGUUUAAUUCAUGUUUUCUUUUUAUUUUUUAAUUUAGAUUCUCUUCUAUAUAUUCCUUCUUGUACGUAGUUUACCUUUCUUUUUAAUAUUGAUAAUUGAAUAUUUUUUUGUGUUCAUGAUGAUUGAAGUAAUUCUUGGCAUAACAUAAUUUGUUCAUGGUUGUAACAGCUCGAAAAUCCGAGUCUAAAAAUCACUCGAACUUAAAAACUUCAAAACCUAUUUUAAAAUCUAAUUUCAAAUAUUGCAAAACUAUUCUCGAGCUCCAUUCGUUUUCCAUCCAUAAUCCAUCCUAAGAUCCCUUUUAAUCCCUUCGUCCUUCAAAUCAUUUCAGACAUUUAACUUCCUCUCUAACCUUCCUACUCUCCCUAAGCUGACAACCUACUGAUCCUUUACUUCACGUAACCUAUGCCUCUCGGCAGCUCAAACCCCAUGAGCAAAACUAUCCUACCCAUGACUUGGCAUUAGCAGCCGUUGUGCAUGCUCU